This 278-nucleotide unclassified non-coding RNA is filed under the name Hevea brasiliensis (rubber tree). Lineage: Eukaryota; Viridiplantae; Streptophyta; Magnoliopsida; Malpighiales; Euphorbiaceae. The record is from RNAcentral.
AUUAAGAUCUUUCAUUCAGAUUUUGUAUUAUAAUUAGGAAGUUUAGGUUUCUACUUUUAGAAAUUUUAUUAGGAAGUAGUAUUUAAAUUUUUUAGGAAUUCUGGUGUUUGGAAUUUCCUAGUUAGUGUUAGUUUGAUAUUCCUAGUUAGAUGGUUUAGUAUUUUUUUUAUUUGGGAUUUCUAAUAGUAGUAGUAGUAGUAGUAGAAUUAGUUAUUAGUUUUUUAAUACCUAUGUAAUUUAGGUAUUCUUCCUAGAGAGCUUAUUAUGAUUAUUAUUGA